Molecule: transfer RNA, 72 nt
Filed under: Bos taurus (domestic cattle)
Lineage: Eukaryota; Metazoa; Chordata; Mammalia; Artiodactyla; Bovidae
Also listed under: 5 other names
Rfam family: tRNA
About the family: Transfer RNA (tRNA) molecules are approximately 80 nucleotides in length. Their secondary structure includes four short double-helical elements and three loops (D, anti-codon, and T loops).
Source: Rfam by way of RNAcentral
UCCUUGGUGGUUCAGACAAUAAAAAGUCUGCCUGCAAUGCAGGAGACCCAGAUUCGAUCCCUGGUCUGGGAA